CAUCAGAGUUCGAUUAAGCCAUGUUAGUUGAGGGUGGCUCUUCUUCGGAAGAGGGAACCGGCAGACGGCUCAGUAACACGUGGACAACUUACCCUUAGGACCGGGAUAACUCCUGGGAAACUGGAGAUAAUACCGGAUAGAGCAUCGAAUGCUGGAAUGCACGAUGCUCAAAAGCUGAGGUGCCUAAGGAUAGGUCUGCGGCCGAUUAGGUUGUUGUUGAUGUGAUGGAUUAACAAGCCUACGAUCGGUAUGGGUUGUGAGAGCAAUAGCCCAGAGAUGGGUUCUGAGAAAAGAACCCAGGUCCUACGGGACGCAUCAGGCGCGAAAACUUUACAAUGUGCGAAAGCACGAUAAGGGAACUCUGAGUGCCUCCUACGGAGGCUGUUCAGUUGUCUAAAACGCAUCUGAAGGAAGGGCUGGGUAAGACCGGUGCCAGCCGCCGCGGUAACACCGGCAGCCCAAGUGGUAGCCAUGUUUAUUGGGUCUAAAGCGUCCGUAGCCGGCCAAGUAAGUUCCUUGGGAAAUUUGAUCGCUUAACGGUCAAGCUUUCGGGGAAUACUGCUUGGCUUGGGACCGGGAGAGGUCAGAGGUACUCCAAGGGUAGGGGUGAAAUCCAUUAAUCCUUGGGGGACCACCGGUAGCGAAGGCGUCUGACCAGACCGGAUCCGACGGUGAGGGACGAAGGCUAGGGUCGCGAACCGGAUUAGAUACCCGGGUAGUCCUAGCUGUAAACGAUGCGGGCUAGGUGUUGGCAUUACUGCGAGUGAUGUCAGCGCCGAAGGGAAGCCGUUAAGCCCGCCAUCUGGGGAGUACGGUCGCAAGGCUGAAACUUAAAGGAAUUGGCGGGGGAGCACCACAACAGGUGGAGCCUGCGGUUC
RNAcentral lists this ribosomal RNA (878 nucleotides) under uncultured archaeon. RNAcentral's name for it is "bacterial SSU rRNA". It matches the Rfam family "Archaeal small subunit ribosomal RNA", at positions 31 to 903 of the family's 1478-position model. The record is from RNAcentral.